MicroRNA precursor from Bos indicus x Bos taurus (hybrid cattle), 85 nucleotides. Ensembl annotates it as microRNA 125b-2. Its record names the gene MIR125B2. Lineage: Eukaryota; Metazoa; Chordata; Mammalia; Artiodactyla; Bovidae. The record is from Ensembl.
GACUUUUCCUAGUCCCUGAGACCCUAACUUGUGAGGUAUUUUAGUAGCAUCACAAGUCAGGCUCUUGGGACCUAGGCGGAGGGGA